Molecule: non-coding RNA, 73 nt
Organism: Ciona savignyi (Pacific transparent sea squirt)
Lineage: Eukaryota; Metazoa; Chordata; Ascidiacea; Phlebobranchia; Cionidae
Source: Rfam
GGUCCUGUGGCCCAAUGGAUAAUGCGCCUGACUUCGAAUCAGGAGAUUCCAGGUUUGAGUCCUGGCAGGAUCG